This is a long non-coding RNA of Pseudopipra pipra, 4689 nucleotides long. RefSeq lists it as uncharacterized. The transcript has 4 exons. The record is from RefSeq and is a predicted model, not a curated record. NCBI's taxonomy places the organism in Eukaryota, Metazoa, Chordata, Aves, Passeriformes, Pipridae.
GUGCAAAUCCUUCUCCUCCCUCAGCCAUCUUAGGAGGAAUGUUUUCCAUCCCUGCAGUCUCCAUUUUAUGGUUCUGACGCAGAAAAUAAGCAGGAGGCUGAGCAGACCCCCCCAGACUGCCUGGAAGCAGGAUGGAGCUCAGGUUUCAGCCCUUGUCCGGGUUCCCCAGCCGAGAGGGACUUUCCUGUUUUCAUUGUUCGGGACGCUGAGAUCUGUCCUUGUUCUUUCUUUCCUUCCUGCCCGUGCAUGUCUGGGGGGGGGGGGGGGGAGGUUGUUGCCUCUGCUCUGUCACCAACAAAUCCUGGCAACAGCACCUUUCCCAGCUGUGUGGAGAGUCCCAGGAGAGCUGCCAGCCUGUGGUAUUGAGCAACUCUUGUCAUCAUCUCUAUUUGGAGGAACUUUUUCUGUGUUAUUCAUCACUGCAUCCUUCAUGUUGUGCAGUGCUGUGGCGUGAGCAGGCGUUUCCCAAUCCAGAAUAUGAAGCAAGCCAGUGAUCCAAACUGCUGGAGGCUUCUUCCACUUCACUGAACCAACCAAAAAAAAGUGCUGGGGGCUCAGAGCUAGACUGAGGGAUCUGUGGUGCCUUCCUGGUCCCUGCAUCUCUGCAGGCUCUUGCUCUGCACGGCACAUCUCUCCCUUCUGUGAGAGGUCUGUGAACUUCCAUAGGGCUCCUGGGAUUGUCUGUGGGUUUUCCAGGCUCAGGAGUGCAGUUCAAGGGCUUUGGGGGUUUUUUUUUUGUGGCAUCUCAAAGCUGAGAACCAAACUGCAGGGCCCUCCCCCUUACAGGUACGUGCACAGAGAUAGCAGCUGGUGUCAAUGCAACCAACUUCACCCAGCUCCAGAACCUGCCUGAGGUGUGGAUUAAAUACUUUGAAAUUUGGGCCAAGUCCAUCAGCAAACCUGAACAAAAGGUUCCCUGGGAAAGCUGACUUGUUUCCAGCCCGUUUAGAUGAGUCUGCACAGGCAGCUCAUCCAUCAGUGUCAGGGAGAUGGGGGAUGUCCUGCAGGACCGCUCCUUCUUACUCAGCUCUGUUCCCUCCACGUAGUGAGUCCUGGUUCCCCCUGUGUUUAUCAAGUCCUAAGCCCGGUUUACUCCCAAAUUCUCACAUCCCUUUUGUUGCUUUCCUUAAAAACUGUGAUUUUGCAGCUCAGUGGAGCUCUUUGAUUUGUUUUUGCCUUUCCCAGAACCCCACACCAAGAUGCUGCUCGGGAAGAAAACAAACGUCACGAGAGCCACUGUGGUUCCUGGGGGUAGUUCAGAUGAGUAUCUUUUCCUUUAAAUAUCCUAAGCUAAAGCUGCCUUUGUCUGUGAUCCUGUGCAUGCCUGCAUAUACGAAAAUAGGUCAGUGACUCCGUGCUGGCCCCAGGCGCCAGCCCGGCUGCGGCAGAGGCACCACGGAGAAGCAGCACAGCCAUAGGUCAGCUCUGAGGGAGGGAUGCUCAUCCUCCCUGCCCUGUUACUGGGCAGCUUCCUGCUCCAGGGAAUGCUGAUGGGCUGGGGGACAGUGCUGGGGGUGCAGCACCCCCGUGUUGAAGUGGGAUUGCCCGGCACAGUUGGGGUUCUGAGCUUUUGUGGUCACCCUGGGAUGGGCACAGACCCCCCCUGCUUAUCCCAGCCCAUGGAGAAGCAGUGAGUUUCUGGGCACUGAGCAGUGGGAUGCCCCAGUCACCCCUCCCGUGGUGUGGAGCUGAUGGAGUCACAGGAAGGGUGCAGAGCUUUUCCACGAGUGAGUCCCAGGAAUGCUGGUGGGAUUCCUGGAGAAGGGAUGUCUGUGGCAGCCUGAUUCCACUGCAACACAGAGGAGAGGGCAUUAACAAGGGGUGGGGCAGUGUAGGGAUUGUGAUGUUGUUGGGUAUCUUUCUGUCAUCCUUCCAGCCCCAAACCUGCAAACAGAUCUCCAGAAACACUUCCCCCUGUGCCACUCCAUAAAUCCUUUGGAGUUCAGUGGCUUGCACCGAGCUUUGAUGUGUGGGUGGAUAUUGUGGAGAUCAUCUCUGCAUUCAUUUAAGGCAAUAGAUGUCUUUAAUGAGGUUACCUUGCUAAAGACUUCUGUGGAUGGAGCACUUCUGUGAGGGAAGGCUAAGAGAAUUGGGAUUGUUCAGCCUGGAGAAGAAAAGGCUCCAGGGAGACCUGAGAGCCCCUUCCAGGGCCUAAAGGGGCUCCAGGAGAGCUGGAGAGGGAUUUUGGACAAGAGUCUGGAGGGACAGGACAAGGGGGAAUGGCUUCCCACUGCCAGAGGGCAGGGUUAGAUGGGAUAUUGGGAAGGAAUCAUUCCCUGUGAGGGUGGGGAGGCCCUGGCACAGGUUGCCCAGAGAAGCUGUGGCUGCCCCAUCCCUGGAAGUGUCCAAGGCCAGGUUGGACAGGGCUUGGAGCAACCUGGGCUAGUGGGAGGUGUCCCUGCCCAUGGCAGGGGUGGGACCAAGAUGAUCUUUAAGGUCCCUUCCACCCUAAGCCACUCUGGGAUUUUGAGUGACUUUUCCUCUAAGCAGAGAUCAGCAUCUUCCCCUAGGAAAAACUUGCAUUUAUCAUUGCUUUGUUCCUUGUGUGAUUCCACCUCCAUGCUCCCUGCAGAGUUUUCCCUGUCUGGUGUUGCACAAAAGGUGACCAGACAGGCUCACACACACCAGAUUUAUCCUCAGAACCUGGUGCCAGAGCUAAACAUCAACUACAGCAGUAAAAGUUCCUUUCUGGGGUGUGGGGAGGGGGAUUUAACAGGAGAAAAGAGAGAAAAGGGAAAGGGAAAACUCCCCAGUGGCCACCUGGGAUGAGACCACAGGGGGAGUCUCCCCCAACAAGCACUUUCUCCAGUGCAGCAGGGACUCCCCCAGGCACUUUUCCUACUCCUUGAACCUUCCCAUUGUCAAUCCUGACGCUGGGGGUGUUGACUGGAGGCAGCUUUGAUUAGGGGCAGAUGCUAAUUGCCCGUUAAGCUCAGCUCUGCCCAGCCCCGCUGAUGUUUAGUGGAUGUUUUAACGACCCUUGUCCCCUUUUGUUGUCCCGGGAGGGUCCUGGAGCGAGGUCACGGCAGGAAGAAAGGGCAGGAAAAGGGAGAUCGGCAUUCCCAGCAGUUGUAAUUAACUCUUCUAUUGUAAUUGCUUCUAAUUACCACACAGCACAACAGUGCUGGGCUCAUUUAGGGAGAUAAGGGAGAGGACUUAGGGGUCUGCAGGUUAGGCCACUGUGUGGGCUCAGGGUUAGUCUGGAUUUGUCAGCUCUCACAAGGAAAAGGACGCUGGAAAACCUCUUCUCCCUGCUCUGUCUGCUCCACACCCUGUCUGACAGUAGGGACUUUUUUCCAUAGUCUCCUUUUCUUCCUUAUCCUGCUUCCUGGGAAUGAUUUUUAGCAUCCUAAUGACCAGCCAGCCAUGGGUUUAAAUUCUGUGUUUAAUUUCUAGAGAAAACCCAAACAUGCUACCAGUGUCUUUUACCUCCUUGGACAACAGUUAUUCCCCUAGACCUGCUAAAUUCCAGCUUUAUUCCCUAAGGUUCUGGGUAAACUGCCCCCAUUCCUGUAUGGGAGGCAGCUUUGUCAUCUCAUUUUGAUUUAGGGAGAAUCUACAUAAGGAAAGUUUGGACUUGAUGGAUCUUUAAGAUCCAAACAAUGUUUUUCUUUAUAUAUAUGUUCUAGAAAAUCUGUGCUCCUUGUCCUUGUUCCCAUUCAUAAAUGUGGUUGCUUGGCUUCACACCCCCAUCCUGCUUUUUUUAAAGGCAGGAAAAAAAAAAGAAGAGUUAAGAACUCCCCAUUUGUCUUCCCAAAAUACCCUGAGCAGGUCUCAGUUGCCCUGGUUUUUUAAGGCAGGGAAUUCUGGGUUGUCCAUACAGGAGAAAUCUGAUGUUUGAAAUGCAUCUGGUAAAACUCCAGUGGAAAAAGUCAUUUUCUCCGGACACGUUUAAUUCCAAGUUAAUAAAAUUUUGGCUGUGCAAUGUCAGUAGGAAAAUCUCAUCCCGAUCUUUUUUUUUCCUUUCUUCAGUUCCAGAAGUCAGAUCUAAAUGCUCAGAUCUAAAAGGCCUCCUGCAGCAGAACUGUUAAGUUUUCCCAGUCCUGUUUAGCCUUGCUGUGGGAUAAUGGGGAGGAAGGGAGUGAGGGAGGAAUUGGGAGAGCAGCACCCCGUGUCUGAACUGUGAACCAGGGAGGAUGAGCUCCCUAAAGCCACCACCUCAAAUGAGAAACAGGGGAGUGGAAAAUAAAUCUGAUGUUGUUCCUAACGCUGGAACCUUUACAAAGUUUGAAAAUACAGGAUGGAUGGAAUAGCUCAGGAAUGCCUGUUCCUGUAAUUUUUUUUUUCCUUUUAUUGAUCAGAGCACUAUUUUUAUAUUUCAGAUGCAUUUGGGGCUUAGAGGACUCUCUCUGGAAGGGAUGCUGACUCUGCCCUUGCUGAUGAUCCUUCUGGAAGCAUCUCCUGCUCCCAGAGUGGCCUGAGUAUGAUCCUGUGUGUGAGCUCCAUCUCCUUGGCUCAAAGCAGGUCCUAACGUGUGGGUGUCCUCAGGGGGAUGGCUCUAGCCUGGAGAGUCUGGAGCAGAGAUGCACAGAACUAGAGAAUUCAUCUCUCUGCAAGUGUCUGCUGAGAACUUGAGGACAGGCUUAAACAGGACAAAAGGACAGAUUUUUAAUGUGCAGUGGAAUAUUCUGAACUUCCCAGCUGACACAGUUAAGAUAAGAGUGACAAAUCUGUGGGGGAAAAUUGACA